AUCAUAACUCCGCCUGUAGCUCUUCCGUGGGCUACUGCCAGUCCCAAGCCCGGAUAAAGGAGGAGGGUUGGG
Molecule: non-coding RNA, 72 nt
Filed under: Schistosoma mansoni
Lineage: Eukaryota; Metazoa; Platyhelminthes; Trematoda; Strigeidida; Schistosomatidae
Source: RNAcentral